UGUCAUCGUAAUUUUGCCUCCCCAUGCAUUUCUCUUCAAAAGGAAAACUAAGGCACAAUUUAACGAAACAUACAGAAUUUUGCAGAGACAACAUAAUGUAUUGCUUUGAAAACUGAUUUUCGAUCAGUUGCCGUUUCUUUAAAGAAUUAAUAAGUAAAUCGAGUAAUGACAUUUAGUGAAGAUCUUGAUCGAGAGUACUGGUUUGAAAUUGCUCCAGUUGCUUUUGUAAAGUUGCGAUUUGUGUUUCAAGCUGUUUGAUUUUCAAUUGAGAAUCGACCGUAAUCUGUGCCGUAGAUGAUUCAAGUGAAUCAGUUCCGGACUCCAUAGGCUCCUCUUUUUUCUUUCCAGAUAUUGAACGAAAAAAUGGAAACCGAAACAGACUUUUGCGUCUGGUAUAUUUCAUGAGUUUGGUCGGAGCUUCAAUUGUUUGGAGCGUUGGCGUUUCAGAUCUAUCAGGGAAGUUAUUGUUUAUUUCCUUAGUAAAAUCAUUAUUUUCCCAAGAGCCGUUAACAAGACGGUUUGACUGAAUAUCCUCCCUAGAAUCCGUAAUCUCUCCAAUACUACUUUCGCUACUUGAUGCGUGACCAAAUGCUCUUUUAAAUGAUUCUUCCCUUUUAUGACUUCUUCCCAUCUCCUCUUCAGAUAAUUCCUUAGCAUCAUUGUAUGAAGGAAUAAGAAACUUGGAUACAUUGUUAUCAUCUGUAGUUCCUUGAGUAAUGUGUUGUAAAUGUAAAUCCUCGUUUUCAUAUGGAAUCCUUGUAUUAUUUAAAUAUUCUUGUUGACUUAUAUCGAAAUUCGAUAGCGGUUGAAUCUGCUCGUUCGUAUUCUGAUAGGCAGGAUCUUCUUUGCUUGUUGCAUUGGCAUCUUCUUCAACGCUGUUACCAAGAGAAAAAUCAUCACCUUCUACGAUCAAAAAACUCUCAUCGGAGCUAAAUAUGCUUGGUGAUGGCUGAUCAUCAUCCAUGGGAACGAUGGAAAAAGCAACUGCAAGUCCAUAGUUGGUUGACAGCUUUUUAACCUGCAUUUCGAAUUUAGAAUACAUUUGAUAUAAAUCGUCCUCAGAAUCUUCCAUUAAAGCUUCACGAAAGCUUGGUUUUAGUCGAACAGUAGUAUUAUGAUCACCUGGUAAAACCAUUGAAUUGGACGUAAAUCGUGGAGUUAAUGAAGAAGUAUACAUAGGUGAUAAUCUCGUAGACAUUGACAUUGAUAUUGGUGUUUG
Molecule: non-coding RNA, 1219 nt
Organism: Schizosaccharomyces pombe (fission yeast)
Lineage: Eukaryota; Fungi; Ascomycota; Schizosaccharomycetes; Schizosaccharomycetales; Schizosaccharomycetaceae
Source: the annotation of a GenBank genome assembly